Molecule: ribosomal RNA, 433 nt
Filed under: uncultured bacterium
Lineage: Bacteria
Description: partial 16S ribosomal RNA
Rfam family: Bacterial small subunit ribosomal RNA
Source: RNAcentral
AACGAACGCUGGCGGCAUGCCUAACACAUGCAAGUCGAACGAGACCUUCGGGUCUAGUGGCGCACGGGUGCGUAACGCGUGGGAACCUGCCCUUAGGUUCGGCAUAACUCCCCGAAAGGGGUGCUAAUACCGGAUAAUGUCUUCGGACCAAAGAUUUAUCGCCUUUGGAUGGGCCCGCGUUGGAUUAGCUAGUUGGUAGGGUAAAAGCCUACCAAGGCGACGAUCCAUAGCUGGUCUGAGAGGAUGAUCAGCCACACUGGGACUGAGACACGGCCCAGACUCCUACGGGAGGCAGCAGUGGGGAAUAUUGGACAAUGGGCGAAAGCCUGAUCCAGCAAUGCCGCGUGAGUGAUGAAGGCCUUAGGGCUGUAAAGCUCUUUUACCCGGGAUGAUAAUGACAGUACCGGGAGAAUAAGCUCCGGCUAACUCCGUG